CGGCAACAGCUCAAAUUUGAAAUCUGGCCCUCUCAGGGUCCGAGUUGUAAUUUGGAGAGGAUGCUUCGGGUGUGGCCCCGGUCUAAGUUCCUUGGAACAGGACGUCACAGAGGGUGAGAAUCCCGUCUAGAACCGAUAGCCACGUUCAUGUGAAACUCCUUCGAC
Molecule: ribosomal RNA, 165 nt
Filed under: Ascodichaenaceae sp.
Lineage: Eukaryota; Fungi; Ascomycota; Leotiomycetes; Rhytismatales; Ascodichaenaceae
Description: partial large subunit ribosomal RNA
Rfam family: Eukaryotic large subunit ribosomal RNA
Source: RNAcentral